AGAACGAACGCUGGCGGCAUGCCUAACACAUGCAAGUCGAACGAGACCUUCGGGUCUAGUGGCGCACGGGUGCGUAACGCGUGGGAACCUGCCCUUAGGUUCGGAAUAACUCAGAGAAAUUUGAGCUAAUACCGGAUAAUGUCUUCGGACCAAAGAUUUAUCGCCUAUGGAUGGGCCCGCGUAGGAUUAGCUAGUUGGUGGGGUAAAGGCCUACCAAGGCGACGACCCUUAGCUGGUCUGAGAGGAUGAUCAGCCACACUGGGACUGAGACACGGCCCAGACUCCUGCGGGAGGCAGCAGUGGGGAAUAUUGGACAAUGGGCGAAAGCCUGAUCCAGCAAUGCCGCGUGAGUGAUGAAGGCCUUAGGGUGUAAAGCUCUUUUACCCGGGAUGAUAAUGACAGUACCGGAGAAUAAGCUCCGGCUAACUCCGCGCCAGCAGCGC
RNAcentral lists this ribosomal RNA (443 nucleotides) under uncultured soil bacterium. RNAcentral's name for it is "bacterial SSU rRNA". It matches the Rfam family "Bacterial small subunit ribosomal RNA", at positions 26 to 518 of the family's 1533-position model. The record is from RNAcentral.